AUUUCCAAAACAUUAUCAUUUCAACAUGCAAUCAAUAUAAAAAUUGAGUUUCCAUUCUUUUUUUAGUACUAAGUCUACAAAACUUAGUGUGUAUUGUACAUUUAAAGAACAUCUUGAUUUGGACCAGCCACAUUUCAAAUGCUCAAGAGCCACACAUGGCUAAUGGCUACCGUUUUGGCAGCACAGGUAUAAGUCUAAGAGGAAGUCCUCCUUUCACUCCUGACCUUUUUAAGCCCAGAGUUGAAGACUGACAUGAGUGCUAGCCUGCAUCCUGAGAAAAGUCAAAGUCAUCAGAGAAGUUCUGGUCUGAGUUUCUUCUCUGACUAGGAAGGUAGGAGGGCAAAGUUCAGGACAAACACAAAAUAGAAAACCUAGGAGGCUGCAAGAACAACAAUAAUGAGGAACUUCAAGGAGGGACAGAAAAUGAGUUGGGCAUGGUCAGGUUUUCUUUAUACUCAAGGUUUUCCCAAUACAAACCCCAAAGGCACACAGAGCUCCUAUCAUAUCAGUUAUAUCAAUUCAUUCCUUUAAACAUCUCUGAACACCUAACUCCUAGGCACUUGGCUGGGCAAUGGAGAUGCAGUUACCCUUCAGGAGAGCUCUCGAUUGGGUCAGGAUGACAUGUUAAACACCUCAAUUAUUCAUUCAAAGUGAAAUAAGAACUCACUUAUAGAUGAGAACACUGAGGCUGAGAGAGGUUCGAUCACUUUUCUACAGUCACACAACCAGAGUGGUGGAAUGAGGAUCCAAACCUGACUCUUAAACAUGGCAUUGAACCAUACUUCCCAGUUUUAAAGAGCUCAUGGUCCUGGAGGCAACAAAAAAUGUCACAACUAUGAGACCAUGGAGUCACUACCACAAAAGGACAUGAAAUAGGGGCUGGAAGCAGGGGGCAUUAAGAUUCCCAGGGGUAACCUUGUGUGAGUCUGAAAGGUUGAGGAGCUCACCAGGUGAAAAGGGGGAAGGAAAUGGACCUUCCACAGGGAACAGCAGAAGUGUGAAGGAGCAUUCAGUAUUCAGAAAACUGGUUGGUGGGGCAGCUAGAGGGCAGUGUGCAUAAGAAAUAGAGGCCCCACAUGAAAGUGGAGGUAUGAGCCAAAACCAGUGCAUAAGGGGCCUGAAAUUCCAUGAGGAACAAUGUAGGUUUUAUACUAUGGGUCAUGGGAAGCCUUAAAAAUUUUGUCUAGGGUAGUAAACAGGACCAGAUUUUCAUUUGAAGAAAUCAUUCUAAAGGAGAGAUCUCAAAGCUUAUGUGUCACCCUUCCUCUCCUAGGGUUGUUAACUCUAUUAAAAGUCCAUGUGUAAAGGCUAAGAUUUGUUUCCUAGAGUUGGAUCACAUCUAGGGACUUAAUCUCCCAAUGGCCUGUGAAGUUUACUUCUCUACCCAUGUUACUAAACAGAAGUUGUUGACUUGCAAUUCUUGAAAAUCAACCCACAAAAAGCUAAAAGCACCUCCUUUAUUCCUGGCAUCAGCACUGACAGAGUUCCUGGCAGAGGAUGGUUUGCUUGGCCAGCUCCUGCUGGAAACCUUGCAUAAUCUUGAUGGCACAGUAGUAUUUUACAUUUACUUGCACAGAAACACGUAAGAUUCUUGUGGCCAGUGACAGAAAACGCUGAAAUAUUUCAGGUGCUCAAAUUCUGAGGCCCCAUGUCUCCUCCCCGUAACAAGGAAUAAAAUUGUUCACUGCCUUCAAAACCCAUGUCUCCCCUCUCCCCAGCCCCCUCUGCACAUCCCUUCCAGGUCUCCUGAUUACCCAGUUCCAUUUUCAGUUCAUCAACCUCUAAGGCUGGCCUACUUUUCAAGGCCACACAAGCAUAUUACAUUGUACAAUUAGGUAAGAAAAACAUCUGCAUUAUACAAAUAAUAGAUUAUAAUUAGAACAGGAUAUUGAAAGGGGGAAACCAGCAAGUGUCCACCAGAAAGCAAGGAUACAGGCAGAACUGGUAAAAAAAAAAAGCCAUUAGACAAAGUACAAAAAUACUACUGCAUCGCAGGGGCAAGGGCUUGACAAGAGGGAAAGAGACAGCAGCAAUACUGAGUGUAACAGAACAGGAGCUGGCCACUGACCGCCCGAAAACCAAGCUGAAGCCCAAGAGCACCAAGCAAGAUCACUUUACCCAGUGAGAAGAGCGAAGCAGACUCAUUUUGUUUUCGGUAAUCACCUGGGUGGUUCUGAAAGUCAUGCCCUGGUCUGAAUAGAGAGUGGGCCCAGGCAGUUUCGAGUCUAUUGCAAAACCAUGGAAAUUGAGUGCAGAUAAACAACCAGGCCAGAUCCAUGAAGAGGAGCAUAAGAGAGAAAAGAAGAGGCCCUCUCAGGUGGCACUCUGCCUAACUAAAGGCCUGGUCCAAGGGUAAGAUGUCCAAGGGGUUUUUCUGAACUUCCAGCUUCAUUCACACCCUGACCUAAAAAAUCAACCCCUUGCCUUUGUCAAGAAGAUGGAAUGUUUCAUGGACACACUAUCCAUUCCCAAACCCCUCCUUAACAAGGCAUCUCUGGGUAUAAGAGGGGACUGUUCUGGAGGACUUGUGCCCUCUAGCCCCACUUUGUUUCCAUAUGACCUGACACCAGCCAAAGUGGGAGAGCAUUUGGGUAGCAAGACAGUUCAUGUGG
This is a long non-coding RNA of Myotis brandtii (Brandt's bat), 2612 nucleotides long. RefSeq lists it as uncharacterized. The transcript is spliced from 2 exons. The record is from RefSeq and is a predicted model, not a curated record. Lineage: Eukaryota; Metazoa; Chordata; Mammalia; Chiroptera; Vespertilionidae.